Molecule: ribosomal RNA, 188 nt
Filed under: Candidatus Avisuccinivibrio stercorigallinarum
Lineage: Bacteria; Pseudomonadati; Pseudomonadota; Gammaproteobacteria; Aeromonadales; Succinivibrionaceae
Description: partial 23S ribosomal RNA
Rfam family: Bacterial large subunit ribosomal RNA
Source: RNAcentral
CGGCCCGGCAGCCAAGUUUGGAACUGAUAACCGCUGAAAGCAUCUAAGCGGGAAGCAGGCCCCGAGAUGAGUCAUCCCAGACGAAAGUCUGUAAGGGACGUUGAAGACGACGACGUAGAUAGGCCAGGUGUCGAAGUGCAGUGAUGCAUGAAGCUUGCUGGUACUAAUGAACCGAGAGGCUUGACCAU